RNAcentral lists this ribosomal RNA (896 nucleotides) under Solirubrobacter taibaiensis. RNAcentral's name for it is "partial 23S ribosomal RNA". It matches the Rfam family "Bacterial large subunit ribosomal RNA", at positions 1926 to 2821 of the family's 2925-position model. Lineage: Bacteria; Bacillati; Actinomycetota; Thermoleophilia; Solirubrobacterales; Solirubrobacteraceae. The record is from RNAcentral.
AACGGCGGCCGUAACUAUAACGGUCCUAAGGUAGCGAAAUUCCUUGUCGGGUAAGUUCCGACCUGCACGAAUGGCAUAAUGAUGGCGGCGCUGUCUCCAGCAGAGGCUCAGUGAAAUCGAAAUCGCUGUGAAGAUGCAGUGUACCCGCGGCUAGACGGAAAGACCCCGUGAACCUUUACUGCAGCUUGACAUUGAACUUUGACCUUACUUGUGUAGGAUAGGUGGGAGGCUUUGAAGUUGGAACGCUAGUUCCAAUGGAGCCGUCCUUGAAAUACCACCCUGGUAAUGUUGAGGUUCUAACUCUGUCCCGUAAUCCGGGACGAGGACCAUGUCUGGUGGGUAGUUUGACUGGGGCGGUCUCCUCCUAAAGAGUAACGGAGGAGUACGAAGGUGCGCUCAGCGUGGUCGGAAAUCACGCGUAGAGUAUAAAGGCAAAAGCGCGCUUAACUGCGAGACCCACAAGUCGAGCAGGUACGAAAGUAGGUCUUAGUGAUCCGGUGGUUCUGUAUGGAAGGGCCAUCGCUCAACGGAUAAAAGGUACUCUGGGGAUAACAGGCUGAUACCGCCCAAGAGUUCAUAUCGACGGCGGUGUUUGGCACCUCGAUGUCGGCUCAUCUCAUCCUGGGGCUGAAGCAGGUCCCAAGGGUAUGGCUGUUCGCCAUUUAAAGAGGUACGCGAGCUGGGUUUAGAACGUCGUGAGACAGUUCGGUCCCUAUCUACCGUGGGCGCUGGAAAUUUGAGAGGAUCUGCUCCUAGUACGAGAGGACCAGAGUGGACGAACCUCUGGUGUACCGGUUGUCACGCCAGUGGCAUCGCCGGGUAGCUAUGUUCGGAAGGGAUAACUGCUGAAAGCAUCUAAGCGGGAAGCCUACCUCAAGAUAAGAUUUCCCUAGGAA